This 253-nucleotide ribosomal RNA is filed under the name uncultured bacterium. RNAcentral's name for it is "partial 16S ribosomal RNA". It matches the Rfam family "Bacterial small subunit ribosomal RNA", at positions 524 to 776 of the family's 1533-position model. The record is from RNAcentral.
UACGGAGGGUGCGAGCGUUGUCCGGAAUCAUUGGGCGUAAAGCGCACGUAGGCGGUCUGUUAUGUCGGAUGUGAAAGCCCUUGGCUUAACUGAGGAAGUGCAUCCGAAACUGGCAGGCUAGAGUACUAAAGAGGGUCGCGGAAUUCCCGGUGUAGAGGUGAAAUUCGUAGAUAUCGGGAGGAACACCGGUGGCGAAGGCGGCGACCUGGGUAGAUACUGACGCUGAGGUGCGAAAGCGUGGGGAGCAAACAGG